AAGGGGCUGCCACUGCCCCUGGUCCCAGGGAGCCCCGUGAAAGCCUCAGUGAGGAGCUCCCCGUGCAAGCCAAGCUCAGCCUGGGCUGGGAGCUGCCAGCAAACAGAGCCAGGCUCAGCCCAGGGGGACCUGGUCCCUUCCCCACACCUCCUGCACCCCACAUCCACUCACUGCUGCUGCCUGCCCCUCCUGAGCCGUCCCUGCCCCUGGUGGCACUCUGCAUGGCCCAUGGAGCCACCCAAGGGGCAGGUUUAGCCCAGGCUGCUCCCCUCGGCACACCCCAGAGUGCCUGAGCAGCAAUCUGGGCCUCUGGCACCAAAGAAACCAACAGAAUUUAGUCAGUGGUGGCUUCCUUUGGGUUUAUCCUUGGGAUGAACACAAGAGGCAGAGGCAGCACUGGGCAGGCUGCAGCUCAGGCUGGCCCGAGGUGCCUGUGAGGCACCUGAGCUGUGGCACCUGCGGGACCCCAGCCCAGCCCUGGGCUCUGCAGUGAUGCUGAGAGAGGGCAAAGUGUGAGCUGCAUCAAAUAAUGGCAUUUACCACGGAGUCACCUGCUCCUUUCAGCGGCCAGCAACCCUGAGAUCACACACUGCAACCCCUGCAGGCGGCUGUUUCCAGCUCUCACAGCCACCCCCAGAGAUCCAUCAAGCACAAAUAAUUCUGCCCCACUCAGCUGCCUCACCCCCUUGGACUGUGAGCCCUGCAGGUCUCAGUGGGGUUAAACCUGCAGUGGAAUCCUGAGAUUAAAAGGUGGCAUUUAGGGCACAUUUCAGCACAGCAGAACCAACAAGGCUGACGUGCCCACAGCACCAAGACAUACCCUGGCUGCAGGUUUUAUAUCCAUAAACCACAAUAAAUGGCAUGCUAACAGAGA
Passer domesticus (house sparrow) is the source of this 874-nucleotide long non-coding RNA. RefSeq lists it as uncharacterized. The record is from RefSeq and is a predicted model, not a curated record. The transcript is spliced from 2 exons. Lineage: Eukaryota; Metazoa; Chordata; Aves; Passeriformes; Passeridae.